RNAcentral lists this ribosomal RNA (484 nucleotides) under uncultured bacterium. RNAcentral's name for it is "partial 16S ribosomal RNA". It matches the Rfam family "Bacterial small subunit ribosomal RNA", at positions 30 to 507 of the family's 1533-position model. The record is from RNAcentral.
AUUGAACGCUGGCGGCAGGCCUAACACAUGCAAGUCGAGCGGAUGAAGGGAGCUUGCUCCUGGAUUCAGCGGCGGACGGGUGAGUAAUGCCUAGGAAUCUGCCUGGUAGUGGGGGAUAACGUCCGGACACGGGCGCUAAUACCGCAUACGUCCUGAGGGAGAAAGUGGGGGAUCUUCGGACCUCACGCUAUCAGAUGAGCCUAGGUCGGAUUAGCUAGUUGGUGGGGUAAAGGCCUACCAAGGCGACGAUCCGUAACUGGUCUGAGAGGAUGAUCAGUCACACUGGAACUGAGACACGGUCCAGACUCCUACGGGAGGCAGCAGUGGGGAAUAUUGGACAAAGGGCGAAAGCCUGAUCCAGCCAUGCCGCGUGUGUGAAGAAGGUCUUCGGAUUGUAAAGCACUUUAAGUUGGGAGGAAGGGCAGUAAGUUAAUACCUGGCUGUUUUGACGUUACCAACAGAAUAAGCACCGGCUAACUUCGUG